This 1600-nucleotide long non-coding RNA is filed under the name Triticum aestivum (bread wheat). Its description in RNAcentral is "long non-coding RNA (TAES_LNC010016)". Lineage: Eukaryota; Viridiplantae; Streptophyta; Magnoliopsida; Poales; Poaceae. The record is from RNAcentral.
GGCCUUGACAUUGUCGAUGGUGUCAGAGCUCUCAACCUCCAGAGUGAUGGUCUUGCCGGUGAGGGUCUUCACGAAGAUCUGCAUGCCACCACGCAGACGCAGGACAAGGUGGAGGGUGGACUCCUUCUGGAUGUUGUAGUCAGCGAGGGUUCGGCCAUCCUCCAGCUGCUUGCCAGCAAAGAUGAGACGCUGCUGGUCAGGGGGAAUGCCCUCCUUGUCCUGGAUCUUGGCCUUGACAUUGUCGAUGGUGUCAGACGACUCCACCUCAAGGGUGAUGGUCUUGCCCGUCAGUGUCUUCACAAAGAUCUGCAUCUGCAAAGAAGAAUAACAGAUAGGAUGGUAAGCAUAAAAGAAGCAGAUCGGCAAACUCACAAUGAUAGAACAACAAAUACUAAUGCAUGGACAAGCUUCUAUGGCAGCAGCAUAUUUUUUCAUUUAAAGAUAUUAAUGACCAUAGGUCCAUGUAUGUAACACAAAAGUCUACAGAUUACAUUGAUCUAACGAUUCCACAUAGCUGCCAAAACAUGCUUAUUAUCUAAGAGAAACCUAGCUUCAGGGUAAUACAUCAAGCACAUCUGACACUAAUGUACAUGAGCUUCAGGAAAAAAACAAUCUACAAUCCUAGGCCUAUUAGGACGAUCUUGGUACAACAGCAAUGUGAUAAAUAGCAACAGCUCAGGCAGGAUCCGCAUGUGGAGAAAAAAUUAUCACACAGCUACUAAUUUGGAUGAUAAAAGAUUUACCAAGCCUGAACGGAACUGUAAUAGAUGAAACAUGCAUAGAUUAACAUAUGAGACCAUAUGGCAUCAGGAAUUCACCUGGAAGAGCGGAUAGACCUAACCCUUUCAGUAAAAAUUAGGAAAUAAACACAAAAGCUUAACCAAUCUAACAACGCAAAUAGAUAAGCUUAUACAUCAAGCCAGAGACUCAACAGACAUAUUUUCUUCUUCAAAGAGAUACCAGCGAGCAAAUAGGUUCAUGCCUUCAUGCACAUCUAGACUAUCAAUUUUCUCACGGAUUUGCAUAUGUUGGGCAUGUUAUCAGGAUGAAAACCAUCUUCGGGUCAAAACCAAACUACAGUCUUAGGCCUAUUAGGACGAUCACGAGCGACAGACCACGCAGUCCACGCGUCUACAGAAAAUUUUAUAUGGCAUACAAGUUUUAUGUACUACUUGGGCGAAUCUAUCAAAACAUACGAGACCACACGUCAUCAAGGAAUCCAUCCUGAUCUACCCAUUCAAUACGAAUUAGCAUACGCGAAAUCCCUACGAAUUCGCUAAAUCUUCACCGAUCUAUAACAACAGAUCGGAGCCAAAUUCCACAGUACCACGCGUCCAACGAGAGCACCACGGAAACGUAGAUCCAGACGAUACAGGGAGAAGAGGGGAAGGAAUCGCCGUACCUUGAGGCGGUGGGGAAGGAGGAUUCGACAAGCCUCGAGUCGAUCGGAGACGAGAUUAGCUUGGGAUUUGUUGGUUCCGUUGCUGGGAGCGGUGGUGAGGAUUGGAGGAGGGGAGGGGGUGGGUAUUUAUGCCGGCUGGUGACGGGCCGGGUGGGGGAAGUGACGGUCCCGUCUGUUUGGUGCGUGCGUCUCCGCCAC